GUUGGAACUCUCUGAGGGGCUUGACCUAUAAUUUAUACAGACGGGGAGAUGAAAAACCCAAGGCGAGGGUCUGUUUUGCUGCAUUUACUGAGAGGGAGAUUGGAAUUUCAUCUAAAAAGGUGGCCGGAGUCAGCCUGUAAGUGCCAACAGGCUAACGACAAUGAUCUCCGUUGAUUCAAACGGGAGGGUGUGUCAACAAGGGAUAAAGCACGCUGGAUGGAAUGUAAAAACUCUCGAAGCUUUGGAGAUUCCUAUGUGCACAUCUGGUUUAAACUCUGUGAGGGGUAUCACCCUGUAAUUCAAAUUUACAGACGGAGGGAGGAAAGCCCAAGGCAAGGCUCUAUUUUACUGUACUGACGGGUGCAGCCUACCCACAAAUCGUCUCUCUGUCUGCCGGAUCUCCUUUUCCAAAAACCCGGGCUGGAGAGAACCGAAAUAAAUUGCCUAUGCGGUAUCGUAAUUCAUCAGUGGACUGAGACAUUCACGCAUUGCAGCAGAGGAUUAUGUUAGUCUAUCC
Molecule: long non-coding RNA, 517 nt
Organism: Acanthaster planci (crown-of-thorns starfish)
Lineage: Eukaryota; Metazoa; Echinodermata; Asteroidea; Valvatida; Acanthasteridae
Source: RefSeq, a predicted model, not a curated record